AGUAGUUUCUGAAACAUUUAGAUUUUAGCUUGAAAUGAGACAUUUGAUUGGUAAACUUUUGUUUCAAUAUGCCAUCAAAUUAUAAGCUAACAUAUUCAGUCUUGCUUAUUUGGCACUUUGCUCCAUAUAGGAGCCUGCAUCGUUAGUAGAUUAUUCUUAGUAAUGGGUUUGCUUAUUUGGCACUUUGCUCCUUGUAGGAGCAGUAGAUUAGCGUUAGAAAUUUGAUAUUAGUUCUAAAGAGUUACUCGUUUUUUGUACGUGUGUUUUCAGUUUGCAUCAGGGAGCCUGGAU
RNAcentral lists this unclassified non-coding RNA (291 nucleotides) under Hevea brasiliensis (rubber tree). Lineage: Eukaryota; Viridiplantae; Streptophyta; Magnoliopsida; Malpighiales; Euphorbiaceae. The record is from RNAcentral.